RNAcentral lists this long non-coding RNA (1092 nucleotides) under Fragaria vesca (wild strawberry). Its description in RNAcentral is "long non-coding RNA (FVES_LNC004309)". The record is from RNAcentral. Lineage: Eukaryota; Viridiplantae; Streptophyta; Magnoliopsida; Rosales; Rosaceae.
CUUGCUAGGUGUGCUCUACCACAUUUAACAUAUACUAGAUAGAUCACCUGCACUUUGCUAAGCUAGACAGAUUACCAACUGAAUCAAGGCUUCUAUGAUUAACAAGUUGUACCUACAUGAUAUAUCUCAUUCCUAUGUCUUUACCUAUCUAUAUACUUUCUGCCAGUCAAUAAUUCCAUUCUCUACAUUUUCUAAAAUCAGAGCCACAUUACACACUUGUAAUCAAAAACAUAUAUCCUUCAACCUUUUCAAGUAAACACACGUAUGUGCAGAUAUAUCCCAGACACGCAUGGCUGAAUAGGUCUAUUGAACUUAAUAUCAAGCACUCUAGCAAAAACUAAUCACUUUAAUCCACAGGUUAAACAGUGACCUUGGAUAUACUCCUGAAACAUACUGCCUCAAAACAAAAUCAACCGGCAGCACAAUGACACAAACAUAACCAGUUAAAUGCACAUUGAUCACAAGGUCACCAACACAAAAGACACUACUUUGUAACCAAAAGCAAAAUCAGUUUCGCACUCGCUCGGUUAAGAAAAACACAAAACAACUCCUUACCUAGGACCAAAAGCAAGCCAGAGGAAAGCUGCUUCAAGAAAACAACCAUGUUGCCCUUGAACCUUCCAGCCAGAGUGAUCAACACAGUUCCUGGGGUAAUGCUUGCCCUGCAUAGGCUUCAACGUCAGCAAAUCCCUGCUGUUCCACACUAAUACUUCCACUAACUUCUAAUCUCUUGUAAUUUACCAAAUCGAAAACCAAUUGAGAUAUAAUCUCAGACAAACUAUCAAUUAAGGGCAUUCAUGCACACUUUCUAAACAAUUCACAACAUUUCUCCACAAAUCAAACACAUAUAUUACUAAACAAACAGAGAUAUGAAUUCAUCAAUUCAUCAAUUGAACUGAAGAACAAACGAACAGAAGAGGAGGCUCACAGAGAUGAAUUCAUCAAUUCACAGAGUAAGAAAAUCGGAGAGUUUAAGAGACUAACCUGCCAAACACAACGGAGGACGACGUUCUGGGCUGUCGGUUUGGGUGGAGGAACUGGUGAGGGUGAGGGCGAGAGAGAGAGAGAGAGAGAGAGAGAGAGAGAGAGAGA